AUUGAACGCUGGCGGCAGGCUUAACACAUGCAAGUCGAGCGGAGAUGAGGUGCUUGCACCUUCUCUUAGCGGCGGACGGGUGAGUAAUGCUUAGGAAUCUGCCAUUUAGUGGGGGACAACAUUCCGAAAGGAAUGCUAAUACCGCAUACGUCCUACGGGAGAAAGCAGGGGAUCUUCGGACCUUGCGCUAAAUGAUGAGCCUAAGUCGGAUUAGCUAGUUGGUGGGGUAAAGGCCUACCAAGGGGACGAUCUGUAGCGGGUCUGAGAGGAUGAUCCGCCACACUGGGACUGAGACACGGCCCAGACUCCUACGGGAGGCAGCAGUGGGGAAUAUUGGACAAUGGGGGGAACCAUGAUCCAGCAAUGCCGCGUGUGUGAAGAAGGCCUUAUGGUUGUAAAGCACUUUAAGCGAGGAGGAGGAUACUGAGACUAAUACUCUUGGAUAGUGGACGUUACUCGCAGAAUAAGCACCGGCUAACUCUGU
This 484-nucleotide ribosomal RNA is filed under the name uncultured bacterium. RNAcentral describes it as "partial 16S ribosomal RNA". It matches the Rfam family "Bacterial small subunit ribosomal RNA", at positions 30 to 506 of the family's 1533-position model. The record is from RNAcentral.